This 2923-nucleotide ribosomal RNA is filed under the name Escherichia coli. RNAcentral describes it as "bacterial LSU rRNA". It matches the Rfam family "Bacterial large subunit ribosomal RNA". The record is from RNAcentral. Lineage: Bacteria; Pseudomonadati; Pseudomonadota; Gammaproteobacteria; Enterobacterales; Enterobacteriaceae.
GGGUUGUGAGGUUAAGCGACUAAGCGUACACGGUGGAUGCCCUGGCAGUCAGAGGCGAUGAAGGACGUGCUAAUCUGCGAUAAGCGUCGGUGAGGUGAUAUGAACCGUUAUAACCGGCGAUUUCCGAAUGGGGAAACCCAGUGUGUUUCGACACACUAUCAUUAACUGAAUCCAUAGGUUAAUGAGGCGAACCGGGGGAACUGAAACAUCUAAGUACCCCGAGGAAAAGAAAUCAACCGAGAUUCCCCCAGUAGCGGCGAGCGAACGGGGAGGAGCCCAGAGCCUGAAUCAGUGUGUGUGUUAGUGGAAGCGUCUGGAAAGGCGCGCGAUACAGGGUGACAGCCCCGUACACAAAAAUGCACAUAUUGUGAGCUCGAUGAGUAGGGCGGGACACGUGGUAUCCUGUCUGAAUAUGGGGGGACCAUCCUCCAAGGCUAAAUACUCCUGACUGACCGAUAGUGAACCAGUACCGUGAGGGAAAGGCGAAAAGAACCCCGGCGAGGGGAGUGAAAAAGAACCUGAAACCGUGUACGUACAAGCAGUGGGAGCCUCUUAAUGGGGUGACUGCGUACCUUUUGUAUAAUGGGUCAGCGACUUAUAUUCUGUAGCAAGGUUAACCGAAUAGGGGAGCCGAAGGGAAACCGAGUCUUAACUGGGCGUUAAGUUGCAGGGUAUAGACCCGAAACCCGGUGAUCUAGCCAUGGGCAGGUUGAAGGUUGGGUAACACUAACUGGAGGACCGAACCGACUAAUGUUGAAAAAUUAGCGGAUGACUUGUGGCUGGGGGUGAAAGGCCAAUCAAACCGGGAGAUAGCUGGUUCUCCCCGAAAGCUAUUUAGGUAGCGCCUCGUGAAUUCAUCUCCGGGGGUAGAGCACUGUUUCGGCAAGGGGGUCAUCCCGACUUACCAACCCGAUGCAAACUGCGAAUACCGGAGAAUGUUAUCACGGGAGACACACGGCGGGUGCUAACGUCCGUCGUGAAGAGGGAAACAACCCAGACCGCCAGCUAAGGUCCCAAAGUCAUGGUUAAGUGGGAAACGAUGUGGGAAGGCCCAGACAGCCAGGAUGUUGGCUUAGAAGCAGCCAUCAUUUAAAGAAAGCGUAAUAGCUCACUGGUCGAGUCGGCCUGCGCGGAAGAUGUAACGGGGCUAAACCAUGCACCGAAGCUGCGGCAGCGACACUAUGUGUUGUUGGGUAGGGGAGCGUUCUGUAAGCCUGUGAAGGUGUACUGUGAGGUAUGCUGGAGGUAUCAGAAGUGCGAAUGCUGACAUAAGUAACGAUAAAGCGGGUGAAAAGCCCGCUCGCCGGAAGACCAAGGGUUCCUGUCCAACGUUAAUCGGGGCAGGGUGAGUCGACCCCUAAGGCGAGGCCGAAAGGCGUAGUCGAUGGGAAACAGGUUAAUAUUCCUGUACUUGGUGUUACUGCGAAGGGGGACGGAGAAGGCUAUGUUGGCCGGGCGACGGUUGUCCCGGUUUAAGCGUGUAGGCUGGUUUUCCAGGCAAAUCCGGAAAAUCAAGGCUGAGGCGUGAUGACGAGGCACUACGGUGCUGAAGCGACAAAUGCCCUGCUUCCAGGAAAAGCCUCUAAGCAUCAGGUAACAUCAAAUCGUACCCCAAACCGACACAGGUGGUCAGGUAGAGAAUACCAAGGCGCUUGAGAGAACUCGGGUGAAGGAACUAGGCAAAAUGGUGCCGUAACUUCGGGAGAAGGCACGCUGAUAUGUAGGUGAAGCGACUUGCUCGUGGAGCUGAAAUCAGUCGAAGAUACCAGCUGGCUGCAACUGUUUAUUAAAAACACAGCACUGUGCAAACACGAAAGUGGACGUAUACGGUGUGACGCCUGCCCGGUGCCGGAAGGUUAAUUGAUGGGGUUAGCGGUAACGCGAAGCUCUUGAUCGAAGCCCCGGUAAACGGCGGCCGUAACUAUAACGGUCCUAAGGUAGCGAAAUUCCUUGUCGGGUAAGUUCCGACCUGCACGAAUGGCGUAAUGAUGGCCAGGCUGUCUCCACCCGAGACUCAGUGAAAUUGAACUCGCUGUGAAGAUGCAGUGUACCCGCGGCAAGACGGAAAGACCCCGUGAACCUUUACUAUAGCUUGACACUGAACAUUGAGCCUUGAUGUGUAGGAUAGGUGGGAGGCUUUGAAGUGUGGACGCCAGUCUGCAUGGAGCCGACCUUGAAAUACCACCCUUUAAUGUUUGAUGUUCUAACGUGGGCCCCUUACCGGGGUUGCGGACAGUGUCUGGUGGGUAGUUUGACUGGGGCGGUCUCCUCCUAAAGAGUAACGGAGGAGCACGAAGGUUGGCUAAUCCUGGUCGGACAUCAGGAGGUUAGUGCAAUGGCAUAAGCCAGCUUGACUGCGAGCGUGACGGCGCGAGCAGGUGCGAAAGCAGGUCAUAGUGAUCCGGUGGUUCUGAAUGGAAGGGCCAUCGCUCAACGGAUAAAAGGUACUCCGGGGAUAACAGGCUGAUACCGCCCAAGAGUUCAUAUCGACGGCGGUGUUUGGCACCUCGAUGUCGGCUCAUCACAUCCUGGGGCUGAAGUAGGUCCCAAGGGUAUGGCUGUUCGCCAUUUAAAGUGGUACGCGAGCUGGGUUUAGAACGUCGUGAGACAGUUCGGUCCCUAUCUGCCGUGGGCGCUGGAGAACUGAGGGGGCUGCUCCUAGUACGAGAGGACCGGAGUGGACGCAUCACUGGUGUUCGGGUUGUCAUGCCAAUGGCACUGCCCGGUAGCUAAAUGCGGAAGAGAUAAGUGCUGAAAGCAUCUAAGCACGAAACUUGCCCCGAGAUGAGUUCUCCCUGACUCCUUGAGAGUCCUGAAGGAACGUUGAAGACGACGACGUUGAUAGGCCGGGUGUGUAAGCGCAGCGAUGCGUUGAGCUAACCGGUACUAAUGAACCGUGAGGCUUAACCUUACAACGCCGAAG